This 789-nucleotide ribosomal RNA is filed under the name Triticum aestivum (bread wheat). RNAcentral describes it as "partial small subunit ribosomal RNA". The record is from RNAcentral. Lineage: Eukaryota; Viridiplantae; Streptophyta; Magnoliopsida; Poales; Poaceae.
UCAGGAAGAAUUGAGCUAGUGCGCACAGUGCUGUCGGCCAUGGCCAUUUACCGGAUCAUGGCACUGGCUCCUCCCAAGUGGUUUAUCAAGAUGGUGGACAGAUUGCGGAGAGGUUCCCUUUGGGCGGCGGACGAGACUUCGCCGGGCGGCAGAUGCCUCGUGCGGUGGCGUGAUGUGUGCAAACCAAGGGAGCUGGGCGGGCUGGGAAUCAGUGAUCUGCAGCUUCAUGGGGCUGCGUUACGGGAGCGUUGGCAAUGGAGGAAGUGGUCAGAUGACGGCAGGUCAUGGCAACAGCUCAUCCUACCAACUGACCUGAGGGCUGAAUGUGUAUUCAGAGCCUCUACAUCUAUCAUCAUCGGCGACGGCUGCAAAGCAAAUUUUUGGCACUCUCACUGGGUGGACGGUUGCCGACCUGCCGAUCUAUGGCCGAACCUCUUCGGCCACUGCAAUGGGCGACGGCUCUCCCUGCGUAUGGCUAUCAACGAGGACAAAUGGAUGCAGUACGUCAAGGCCAACCCCUCCCCGGUUGUCCUUCGCGAGCUUUGCCAGCUGUGGGAGGCCACGCAAGCGAUCACCUUCCAGGACGACACGACGGACUCCCUGCGUUGGAAAUGGACUGCAUCGGGUGAGUACACGGCGACUUCAGCAUACCACAUGUUGUUUCAGGGAUCCAUCCCCUCCAACGACAACACCGUCAUUUGGAGGGCCAAGGCGGCGCCACGAGCCAAGGCUUUCGCCUGGAUUCUGCUGAAGGGGAAGUGUCUGACAGCGGACAACCUGGCUAAAUGA